Molecule: ribosomal RNA, 253 nt
Filed under: uncultured prokaryote
Description: partial 16S ribosomal RNA
Rfam family: Bacterial small subunit ribosomal RNA
Source: RNAcentral
UACGUAGGGUGCAAGCGUUGUCCGGAAUUAUUGGGCGUAAAGAGCUCGUAGGCGGUUUGUCGCGUCUGCUGUGAAAACUCGGGGCUUAACUCCGGGCCUGCAGUGGGUACGGGCAGACUAGAGUGCGGUAGGGGAGACUGGAAUUCCUGGUGUAGCGGUGAAAUGCGUUGAGAUCGGAAGGAACGCCCGUGGCGAAAGCGAGUCCCUGGACGCCAUCUGACGCUGAGACGCGAAAGCCAGGGGAGCGAACGGG